AAAGUUAAGAAAAAACAGAGUGA
RNAcentral lists this non-coding RNA (23 nucleotides) under Arabidopsis thaliana (thale cress). Lineage: Eukaryota; Viridiplantae; Streptophyta; Magnoliopsida; Brassicales; Brassicaceae. The record is from RNAcentral.